GGCCCAAACUCCUACGGGAGGCAGCAGUAGGGAAUAUUGCGCAAUGGGGGGAACCCUGACGCAGCGACGCCGCGUGAGUGAUGACGGCCUUUUUGGUUGUAAAGCUCUGUAAAGAGGGAAAAAUGUUUACGUGCAGAGCGUAAAUUGAUGGUACCUCUAAAGUAAGGACCGGCUAAAUACGUGCCAGCAGCCGCGGUAAUACGUAUGGUCCUAGCGUUGUCCGGAAUGACUGGGCGUAAAGGGUGUGUAGGCGGAUGUAUAUGUCAGAUGUGAAAUACCUCGGCUUAACUGAGGCAUUGCGUUUGAAACUGUACAUCUUGAGCAUGUCAGGGGUAAGCGGAAUUCCCGGAGUAGCGGUGAAAUGCGUAGAUAUCGGGAAGAACACCGGUGGCGAAGGCGGCUUACUGGGGCAUAGCUGACGCUGAGGCACGAAAGCGUGGGGAGCGAACGGGAUUAGAUACCCCGGUAGUCCACGCCGUAAACGAUGGAUACUAGAUGUCAGUUGCAUAAUAGCAGUUGGUAUCGAAGCCAACGCGAUAAGUAUCCCGCCUGGGGAGUACGGUCGCAAGAUUAAAACUCAAAGGAAUUGACGG
RNAcentral lists this ribosomal RNA (593 nucleotides) under uncultured bacterium. RNAcentral's name for it is "bacterial SSU rRNA". It matches the Rfam family "Bacterial small subunit ribosomal RNA", at positions 328 to 916 of the family's 1533-position model. The record is from RNAcentral.